AAAUUGUUACUUUAAAUUUGUCUAAAUUAUGCCCAAAAGUUGUCAAAUUUCAUUCUCUAUAGGAUACAUGCUUUGUUUAUUAUUUUAGGUACUUAUACAACUAAGAAAAGCAUUUUAAAUUAUAUACAGCUUUGUACAUUGUUUACCACAUGCAUAUCUUUACAUAUAUGCAUAUAUACAGAGCAACUAAAUAUUUCAACAAUAGUAAUUACUUGAUUUAUUUUAUUACCAGUUUGUCCAAGCUGUGUAAUAACUUUGACCGUGUUAAGCUCGGAUUUCUCUGGCCUCAUAGAGCAUGUGUUUGAUAGCACUUUCUUGACUUUCUAUAGGGAUUUAAUCCACAUCUAAGUACAUUAGACAUAGACAAGUGCUGUCCCGCUGUCUUCCCUAAAGUGUCAAACACAGCAGAGAAUCACGUCCCUCUGCCAGGGCCCUCAUCCCUCAUCUUGGGUCCCUGCAUUAUCCUUUUGUGAGCUGCUUUCAGACUUGGUGGCUUAAGGAUUUUCUGAAAUGUUCUUAUUGGUGUCCUCAUCCUCCAAUAUAAAUAAAGCAAGAACAAAAACUCAGUUGCAGCAUUCACAUUCAGAGGCAUGAAUAUUUGCCCUUUUUUAUGCAAGAAAAGCUGUCAUUUUGUAAGGUAAUUUAUCAUUUUACCUUAUAGUAUGAUAUUGUUGGUUCCUUGGGUUAAGAGGGAAUCCCCUUCAGCUUCAUUAUUCUAAAGUUUCAAAGUUUUUCUCUAAAAGACUGAUAUACCAUCAUUAUUUAAAUUAUAUUUCUCCUCUCUUGGGAAAAUUUGGUUUCACAUAGCUCACAUAGCUUACUUGGUCUCAUGUGGCAGCUAUCUUCAUUCCCCCAUUUUCUGUUAAUACUUUCUAACCCAAUUUUAAUGGUAAAAUUUAUUAUUUACUCACUCUGUACUUCUAGAAGUUGAAUUACAGCUGGCUAUUUUUAUAUGCUCCCAGUUGUUUUUAGUCAUAGCAUUCAGUGUCUAAGUGGAAGUCAUAUUUUUAAUGUGUAAAUUAUACUUGCUUUAUCUAGAGUCUUACAUGAUAUAUGGUGGUCUCAUAGAGCCCAGGCUGUACUCAUCAUGUAGCCAAGGAUGACCUUAAACCAAUCCUUCUGCCUCUACCUGUCAGACCAGGUGUACAUUCUUAUGCCGGCUUCAAAGUAGCAUUUUUAUGUAAUGUAGUUUUUAUUUUUUUAGAAAUCUUAGUGAGGGAUUGAUUUUACUCUGUUCUCCUAAAGGAAGUAUUUGGUUUUCUUCCUGUCUUCUUGCUCUUCUAGGGCAGUCAGUCAGACCUGAUGCCAUUUGUUGUUCCACAGACAUUCCCUCAUUUAGAGGGGUGUGGUCCUGAAGGGCUACAGUACUGUCACUUUUCUGCCUUAAGUGUUUUCAUAACCCUUACUUUGAAUUUUAUUUGUUUAAGUGUGGCUGUAUGAUGGCUUUAUCAGAUGUCAGAGCUGGUUUGCUGAUUGUAUUUGGAGCCACAAUCCUCUGUUGAGUACUCAUUUAUGAUUUACUUUCACAUAUUUUAAAGCUGGAAUGAGACACCUAAACUAUUUGUCAGAAGCAGGAUAAUAAAAUCAGUGCAUCUUCUGAAGGUUUUGCCAUUCUUUCCCUCCUGUGUGCAGAGUUUGCAUAGAUUAAUAUAUACUAAUUUUCAUGCAGUUUGGACUGUGGGCCUCACUGUUGAGGAAAAGGCAGCCAUUCUUCUGUCUGCAAGAAUAGUUACUUGAGAGAAACAUCUCCUUGAAAUAUAGAUGCCACCAGCUUAACAUUUCUCUUCUCUCCCCAUUUAAGCAAUAUCUAUGUGUGCAUAGGUACAUACAUAAGAAUUCACUGCAGCAAUACAAUCUAUGCAGAUGUCAGUACAUGUGAUGUAGAGUCAAGGUAGAAUUCUCUUAGCUCUGAGAGUAGUUGUGUUGCAGUCUAAGAGCACAUUUAUUUCUGUACCUUGGGAUCAUCUCAAGGUUAAAUUAAUCAAAACUCUACAAAAUUAUAAGCAAAACAUCUACUGUACCAACAGGAAGGCAGCCUUAGUUGACCGACUCACUGUACAGAUUUAAAGGGCUGCAGAGGUGCAGAGAACUGCUAAGAGGUCUUAGCAUGGUUGUUCACUUACACUGUGGAAUCUUGAACUUUCAGCUUUUGCCUUCUUGCACUACAUAUGUGUGUAUUUUUAUGUGAAAUACUAUGUUUAUUUGAUUAAGAUUUAUGUUUGUUAUUGGCGCAAGAUGUUGGAAGAUCACCUCUUAAGAUUUUCAAAAAUACCAGUGAUGAUUUAGCAAAGGUAUGUUUUUCCAGUAAAGCGCAGAACAAUCAAAAAUAGCUUGCAUUUAAACCAAAAAAGCCUUUAUAAAAACCAGUUGCUUGUACUGCUUCUCAGUUAUGUAAGGAUGAAUCAGCAAGCAAACAGCAUGAAAUAUUAAGAGACAGAAAGACUGAGUUAAUAGUUUGGUUGUAUGG
This 2467-nucleotide long non-coding RNA is filed under the name Mus musculus (house mouse). Its description in RNAcentral is "long non-coding RNA chr14:87512055-87514522". The record is from RNAcentral. Lineage: Eukaryota; Metazoa; Chordata; Mammalia; Rodentia; Muridae.